GACGAACGCUGGCGGCGUGCUUAACACAUGCAAGUCGAACGGAAAGGCCCUGCUUUUGUGGGGUGCUCGAGUGGCGAACGGGUGAGUAACACGUGAGUAACCUGCCCUUGACUUUGGGAUAACUUCAGGAAACUGGGGCUAAUACCGGAUAGGAGCUCCCGCUGCAUGGUGGGGGUUGGAAAGUUUCGGCGGUUGGGGAUGGACUCGCGGCUUAUCAGCUUGUUGGUGGGGUAGUGGCUUACCAAGGCUUUGACGGGUAGCCGGCCUGAGAGGGUGACCGGCCACAUUGGGACUGAGAUACGGCCCAGACUCCUACGGGAGGCAGCAGUGGGGAAUAUUGCACAAUGGGCGGAAGCCUGAUGCAGCAACGCCGCGUGCGGGAUGACGGCCUUCGGGUUGUAAACCGCUUUCGCCUGUGACGAAGCGUGAGUGACGGUAAUGGGUAAAGAAGCACCGGCUAACUAUGUG
RNAcentral lists this ribosomal RNA (468 nucleotides) under uncultured bacterium. Its description in RNAcentral is "partial 16S ribosomal RNA". It matches the Rfam family "Bacterial small subunit ribosomal RNA", at positions 28 to 507 of the family's 1533-position model. The record is from RNAcentral.